CGGAUGUAGCCAAGUGGAUCA
Molecule: transfer RNA, 21 nt
Filed under: Siphoneugena densiflora
Lineage: Eukaryota; Viridiplantae; Streptophyta; Magnoliopsida; Myrtales; Myrtaceae
Also listed under: 3 other names
Description: partial tRNA-His
Source: RNAcentral